UAAUUUGUGCUAAUACACCCAACGAUAUUGAGGUCUGAGACCAACAAGGGACACAGGCAAAAACUGAAAUGAAUAUUGCGAUGCAGUACUGCCCUAUACCUUCACAACUCUGUCCUCUGCUGAUAGACAGGGACUUGAUGGGGACACUGAAGGUGACAAAGUCUGGAACGAGAGCAUCAAUGAUCAUACAGACACAUCCGAGAACCUCAUCAGGGAGGUCUCUGCCGAAAUGAGGGAAGCGCUCAUCAGUUCAAUACCCUGAAGGCGCCUCAAUGCCGACGUCGGGUCCCAAGCGGACGUCAUGUGAAACUCGGGCAGGAGACAAGGUCACUGCAGUCUUCACCGUCCUUUCUAGCCUUGUCAAAGCCAGCCCACACUCCUGCCUCUGUCAACGAGGUCUGCCAAGGCCAUGGGUAAAUAAGUUCCAGACAUAUAAUUUCAGAUGGGUUGUAUAACAGGUUCCCAGCUUUCAGAUGAUGUACACCACUUCUAUGUGACGUCUACUGUUGACGUGCUAUCUCCCUCCAAAGACCCCCUUUACCCCCCCCAAAAAAGACAAAACCUCCAUCGUAGCCCAGAAGUGGUGGUGCCAGAUGCAUCCCUGUAUGGACGGAGAGGAGUGUAAGGUCCUGCCUGACCUGACUGGCUGGUCCUGCAGCACUGGCAACAAAGUCAAAACCACCAAGGGGCGGCUGUAGCUCAGUGGAUGGAGCACGGCGCCUUUUAUCCAUAAGGUUGGGGGUUCGAUCCUUGACUCCUGCUGUCUGCAUGUUGAAGUGUCCUUGUGUGAGACACUGAACCCCAAGUUGUUCGCGGGCGCUUUACAGCAGCCCACAGCUUCUAAAUGCUUAGGAUGGGUUAAAUGCAGAUGUCAAAUUUCA
This is a long non-coding RNA of Sebastes umbrosus (honeycomb rockfish), 881 nucleotides long. RefSeq lists it as uncharacterized. The record is from RefSeq and is a predicted model, not a curated record. The transcript has 5 exons. Lineage: Eukaryota; Metazoa; Chordata; Actinopteri; Perciformes; Sebastidae.